CUAUAGAUGACAGGGUGGUGAUGAACAGACCUAUAGAUGACAGGGUGGUGAUGAACAGACCUAUAGAUGACAGUGUGGUGAUGAACAGACCUAUAGAUGACAGGGUGGUGAUGAACAGACCUAUAGAUGACAGGGUGUUGGUUAUCAGUUAGUUCACUGUCUCAGGAGUUUAAAACACACUACCACUCAACUCCAAUCAAUCAGUCACCUAAAUGUUAAACUAAUGUGUGAAUCUGCUGCUUGGUGAAGCCACAGCAACAACUCACCCUCACCACAUGUCAGGGUUUACAUACUGUAUAUGUGGAAGAAUUAAGGCCAUACCUGUGAAUAUAUUCCUUUAAAGGGCGUACAGGUGAAUAUAUUUGUUAGGUGAAUGAACUGAGGAUGUUGGUUAGGUGACUGGGGCGUACAGGUGAAUAUAUUUGUUAGGUGACUGGGGCGUACAGGUGAAUAUAUUUGUUAGGUGACUGGGGUAGAGGUGAAUAUAUGAAUGGACUGCACAUAGCUUAAUAUAUUUGGUAGAUGAUUCUCCCUCAGGAUGUCUGUGUGUAUGACUUCACUGACUUUGACUUCAUGUUAUUGUACAGAUUUGAACUGUUCUAAUGGCAUUCAGGUUGGCUAGCGAUCUGAAGCCUCGCUCUAGUGCUGUAUGUCUGUGACCUCUGACCCCUGAUGAACACAGAUUAACGUCCUCUUUUCCCCUGCUGUUGUUGUUUCCGCCCUCCCAUUCCAGAUCUGCCUUCUUCAUAUGUUUUUUGUUGACGAUGAUGCAGAAAGUCUGAUGUAAAUACAGUCUGAUCUUAAAUUAUUACUUUAGACAGUUAUUUCUCAUAACUUUGUUUUACGUUAGCGUGUUUGUGUCAGCGAGUCAGGGCUCCAUCAUGUGCCAAUCCCCAUCUCCACGGAAACGCAGGAUUCUUGCCUGUGAUGUAAUCGCAUAGGCUAUAUAUAAAUGCUGUAAAUAACAGUUUAUGAAGUGUUACUUGAUCCUAUGUAAUUAUUACAAUGAGGACUAUUUUAAUUAUUUCAUGUUAUACAGUUGAAGUCGACAGUUUACAUACACUUAGGUUGGAGUCAUUAAAACUAGUUUUUCAACCACUCCACAAAUUUCUUGUUAACAAACUAUAGCUUUGGCAAGUGGGUUAGGACAUCUACUUUGUGCAUGACCAAGUAAUUUUUCCAACAAUUGUUUACAGACAGAUUACUUCACUUAUAAUUCACUGUAUCACAAUUCCAGUGGGUCAGAAGUUUACAUACACUAAGUUGACUGUGCCUUUAAACAGCUUGGAAAAUUCCAGAAAAUGAUGUCAUGGCUUUAGAAGCUUCUGAUAAGCUAAUUGACAUCAUUUCAGUCAAUUGGAGGUGUACCUGUGGAUGUAUUUCAAGGCCUACCUUCAAACUCAGUGCCUCUUUGUUUGACAUCAUGGGAAAAUCUAAAUAAAUCAGCCAAAACCUCAGAAAAAAGAUUGUAGACCUCCACAAGUCUGGUUCAUCCUUGGGAGCAAUUUCCAAACGCCUGAAGGUACCACAUUCAUUUGUACAAAUAAUAGUGCGCAAGCCGUCAUACCGCUCAGGAAGGCUACGCGUUCUGUCUCCUAGAGAUUUACAUUUACAUUUACAUUUAAGUCAUUUAGCAGACGCUCUUAUCCAGAGCGACUUACAAAUUGGUGCAUUCACCUUAUGAUAUCCAGUGGAACAACCACUUUACAAUAGUGCAUCUACAUCUUUUAAGGGGGGGGUUAGAAGGAUUACUUUAUCCUAUCCUAGGUAUUCCUUAAAGAGGUGGGGUUUCAGGUGUCUCCGGAAGGUGGUGAUUGACUCCGCUGUCCUGGCGUCGUGAGGGAGCUUGUUCCACCAUUGGGGUGCCAGAGCAGCGAACAGUUUUGACUGGGCUGAGCGGGAACUGUGCUUCCUCAGAGGUAGGGGGCCAGCAGGCCAGAGGUGGAUGAACGCAGUGCCCUUGUUUGGGUGUAGGGCCUGAUCAGAGC
Molecule: long non-coding RNA, 1988 nt
Filed under: Salmo salar (Atlantic salmon)
Lineage: Eukaryota; Metazoa; Chordata; Actinopteri; Salmoniformes; Salmonidae
Description: lncRNA (ENSSSAG00000091110.1)
Source: RNAcentral